Long non-coding RNA from Apteryx owenii (little spotted kiwi), 1716 nucleotides. The record is from Ensembl. Lineage: Eukaryota; Metazoa; Chordata; Aves; Apterygiformes; Apterygidae.
CCGGCGGCCGUUGCGACGCGCCUCUGUCGCAGCUUGUCGCGACGGGUUCAGCUUCCCGGCGCUCAGCGCACGAGCGUUCCCGUGUCCCCCGUCGUUCGCUCUGCGACCUCCUCCGGCUACUGAGCGUUUGUCGUAGCAAAGAGAAGAAAUCGCGGCGCGUCUCCAGUCCUCUGCCGUUAUCUCGGGUGCUCUGUGGUGACAAAGGGAAUUUGAAGUAGUUUAGUAGAAGCAGUCACAAACCAACCGCUUCGGUGACACAACGUGCGGGGGUAGAACGGGAGCUCGCAGCCGGCAUAGGAGACGAAAGCUCGGGUUAACCUCGCCCCCCGCCUGGCUGCUGCUGGUGAGAUCCUGCUGGCCGGAGGAUCGGUCUGUCACCUGCCUCUUCUGCUCUGGCCUUAGCUGGGUCUGAGGUGAGGAGCGGUGGUGCUUAACCGCUCUGUAUGAAAGGCCACAGCUGUUGAAUGCUUCCUGCUGCACUCGAUCCAGCCCUGCUGCCUGUUCCUGUGUUGGGAAGAGUUUGCUGUCUGAGCUAAGCAGCCCGAGAAGCUGCUCCAAGCCGUAUCAAGAAGCCUGGGAAUGAAUUUAAUGCCUUUUAGAAAGCCUUCGACUCUGCAAAAGUAGCCUGUUGCUCUGAUCCUUCAUUUGACCCGAGUUAGUUUAUCCUUUGUGGUUGACAGGCCACAUAUGAGUCCUCAGGAGACACACAGCACUUGGAAAUGAGGGUCUAUAUCUUAAACAGCAACAAAAAAAGAAGCCCCUUCACCUGUACAGAGCUCAGCACAAAAUUUUCCACACUAUUUCUGGAGAGGGGUCUCAAAUGCCUGUUUCCCUUUUCACCAGCAGGUCACAAACUUAGUCUGCAAGCAUGAAUUAAAGGGUUUUUUGCAGAAAGAAAAAUAUUUUAAUGUGUUAAAUUGUGAUUUAUUUCCCUCUCAACACUUUUUUCCUUAUUUUGGAAAGCAAAAGCUGCUUACGUAACUGCCGAGAGUCAUGGGCUUCGAGCGGCGAGGCAGCCUCUCAUGCAGAAGCAGGCGGACAGCUCAGCGAAACGGGCAGCUAGCGAAACUCGAGCCAGCCCUCCCGACCGCCUGGGCAGGAGCGGGCCCUGCUGAGGGGCUGCGUGUGGGGGCCGGAGCUGAGAGGCUCAGCAGGGUCGGCUGUGCAGCUUAUUCUAAAGAGUUUUCGUGACUGGAGAGCUCCCCAGACUUGCUGACGGGUUAAAUCUCUGGAAGUGCGGAGAAGUCGCUGUGCUUUUGAUGCACACUGGGAAGCCCUGGGGCUGAAGCAGGGGUAUGUGUCUGACAGUCACUAUUACAGAUGCAAAUACGUUGCUAGCUGGUACUUAUUAACGUUAACACAAGGGAUCUGCAGGAAUCACUAAGGGUGAGGAACUUUGAUCCAGUGCAAUUUAAAAGUCCUGGGAUGAUAUAUGAUAGGUGGUUUUGUUUGUUAAUUAUUUCUGGCCUAGCCUAUACUCAGUCCUGGGUAGCUCUGCUGCUUUAAUGCUGUUCUUCAUCUUAGAGCAGUUUGCUCUUCUAUUGCCCUCGUAGAAAAAGUAGUAGAACAUCAUUUUUUUCUUGACUAAUCAGAUCAGGUUUCUCUACUUGAACCCCUGACUGUGGUGAAAACUGCCGUGGAAAAGAUGACUUUUCUCUUAAAAAAUGACAGAUAUACCAUUUUCUGAAAUGACAUUUACUUGUGUCCUGGAGAAGU